CGGAAGCCCGGGGUUGGGGUGGGGGUUUUUUUUUUAGGGGGUUUUUUUCGUAGAUUGAACGCUGGCGGCAGGCCUAACACAUGCAAGUCGAGCGGAAACGAGUUAUCUGAACCUUCGGGGAACGAUAACGGCGUCGAGCGGCGGACGGGUGAGUAAUGCCUAGGAAAUUGCCCUGAUGUGGGGGAUAACCAUUGGAAACGAUGGCUAAUACCGCAUAAUACCUACGGGUCAAAGAGGGGGACCUUCGGGCCUCUCGCGUCAGGAUAUGCCUAGGUGGGAUUAGCUAGUUGGUGAGGUAAUGGCUCACCAAGGCGACGAUCCCUAGCUGGUCUGAGAGGAUGAUCAGCCACACUGGAACUGAGACACGGUCCAGACUCCUACGGGAGGCAGCAGUGGGGAAUAUUGCACAAUGGGCGCAAGCCUGAUGCAGCCAUGCCGCGUGUGUGAAGAAGGCCUUCGGGUUGUAAAGCACUUUCAGUCGUGAGGAAGGUAGUGUAGUUAAUAGCUGCAUUAUUUGACGUUAGCGACAGAAGAAGCACCGGCUAACUCCGUGCCAGCAGCCGCGGUAAUACGGAGGGUGCGAGCGUUAAUCGGAAUUACUGGGCGUAAAGCGCAUGCAGGUGGUUUGUUAAGUCAGAUGUGAAAGCCCGGGGCUCAACCUCGGAAUAGCAUUUGAAACUGGCAGACUAGAGUACUGUAGAGGGGGGUAGAAUUUCAGGUGUAGCGGUGAAAUGCGUAGAGAUCUGAAGGAAUACCGGUGGCGAAGGCGGCCCCCUGGACAGAUACUGACACUCAGAUGCGAAAGGGCGA
This 810-nucleotide ribosomal RNA is filed under the name Vibrio harveyi. Its description in RNAcentral is "partial 16S ribosomal RNA". It matches the Rfam family "Bacterial small subunit ribosomal RNA", at positions 1 to 764 of the family's 1533-position model. Lineage: Bacteria; Pseudomonadati; Pseudomonadota; Gammaproteobacteria; Vibrionales; Vibrionaceae. The record is from RNAcentral.